CAGCAGCCACGGGAAUACGAAGGGUGCAAGCGUUAAUCGGAAUUACUGGGCGUAAAGCGUGUGUAGGCGGUGAGUUAAGUCUGCUGUGAAAUCCCCGGGCUCAACCUGGGAAUGGCAGUGGAUACUGGCUCGCUAGAGUGUGUCAGAGGAUGGUGGAAUUCCCGGUGUAGCGGUGAAAUGCGUAGAGAUCGGGAGGAACAUCAGUGGCGAAGGCGACUAUCUGGGCCAACACUGACACUGAGGCACGAAAGCGUGGGGAGCAAACAGGAUUAGAUACCCCCGUAGUCCCUGUCUCUUAUAC
Molecule: ribosomal RNA, 301 nt
Filed under: uncultured bacterium
Lineage: Bacteria
Description: partial 16S ribosomal RNA
Rfam family: Bacterial small subunit ribosomal RNA
Source: RNAcentral